GUAGAUAUGGCUCGAGGCAGAGGUCGAGGUAGCGGAGGUCGUGUAGGAAAGUCCUCAUUAAGGUGUGAUUCUACUGGUCGUGCAAACAUGCCUACCAUUCCCAUUCCCACCACAGUUAGUCCUCAACAAGGUGGUACGAGUUCCAUAGGUGGGCCAGAUCCUAUAAACCAAGUUCAAACUUUACGUACGCCACCGGUUCAAGCCUCAGAUAUCGCUCGAGGAAAAGGUCGAGGUAGUCCUCAACAAGGUGGUACGAGUUCCAUAGGUGGGCCAGAUUCUAUAACCAUGUUCAAACUUUAGGUACGCCACCGGUUCAAGCGUCGUAUCACGGUAGUAACCCAA
Long non-coding RNA from Lycium ferocissimum, 342 nucleotides. RefSeq lists it as uncharacterized. The record is from RefSeq and is a predicted model, not a curated record. The transcript has 3 exons. NCBI's taxonomy places the organism in Eukaryota, Viridiplantae, Streptophyta, Magnoliopsida, Solanales, Solanaceae.